This 497-nucleotide ribosomal RNA is filed under the name uncultured bacterium. RNAcentral describes it as "partial 16S ribosomal RNA". It matches the Rfam family "Bacterial small subunit ribosomal RNA", at positions 28 to 507 of the family's 1533-position model. The record is from RNAcentral.
GAUGAACGCUGGCGGCGUGCCUAAUACAUGCAGGUCGAGCGAACGGACGAGAAGCUUGCUUCUCUGAUGUUAGCGGCGGACGGGUGAGUAACACGUGGAUAACCUACCUAUAAGACUGGGAUAACUUCGGGAAACCGGAGCUAAUACCGGAUAAUAUUUUGAACCGCAUGGUUCAAAAGUGAAAGACGGUCUUGCUGUCACUUAUAGAUGGAUCCGCGCUGCAUUAGCUAGUUGGUAAGGUAACGGCUUACCAAGGCAACGAUGCAUAGCCGACCUGAGAGGGUGAUCAGCCACACUGGAACUGAGACACGGUCCAGACUCCUACGGGAGGCAGCAGUAGGGAAUCUUCCGCAAUGGGCGAAAGCCUGACGGAGCAACGCCGCGUGAGUGAUGAAGGUCUUCGGAUCGUAAAACUCUGUUAUUAGGGAAGAACAUAUGUGUAAGUAACUGUGCACAUCUUGACGGUACCUAAUCAGAAAGCCACGGCUAACUACGUG